RNAcentral lists this ribosomal RNA (380 nucleotides) under uncultured bacterium. Its description in RNAcentral is "partial 16S ribosomal RNA". It matches the Rfam family "Bacterial small subunit ribosomal RNA", at positions 355 to 732 of the family's 1533-position model. The record is from RNAcentral.
UGAGGAAUAUUGGACAAUGGGUGGAAGCCUGAUCCAGCCAUCCCGCGUGCAGGAAGACGGCCCUAUGGGUUGUAAACUGCUUUUAUCUGGGGAUAAACCUACUUACGUGUAAGUAGCUGAAGGUACCAGAAGAAUAAGCACCGGCUAACUCCGUGCCAGCAGCCGCGGUAAUACGGAGGGUGCAAGCGUUAUCCGGAUUUAUUGGGUUUAAAGGGUCCGUAGGCGGACUAGUAAGUCAGUGGUGAAAUCCGACAGCUUAACUGUCGAACUGCCAUUGAUACUGCUAGUCUUGAGUAAGGUUGAAGUGGCUGGAAUAAGUAGUGUAGCGGUGAAAUGCAUAGAUAUUACUUAGAACACCAAUUGCGAAGGCAGGUCACUAA